GCUGGGCGUGGUGGUGCAUGCCUGUAAUCCAAGCUACUUGGGAGGCUGAGGCAGAAGAAUUGCUUUAAUCCGGGAGGCAGAGGUUGCAGUGAGCCAAGAUCACACCACUGCACUCCAGCCUGGGUGACAGAGCAAGACUCUGUCUCAA
Pongo abelii (Sumatran orangutan) is the source of this 148-nucleotide unclassified non-coding RNA. It matches the Rfam family "Metazoan signal recognition particle RNA". Rfam says of the family: The signal recognition particle (SRP) is a universally conserved ribonucleoprotein. It is involved in the co-translational targeting of proteins to membranes. The eukaryotic SRP consists of a 300-nucleotide 7S RNA and six proteins: SRPs 72, 68, 54, 19, 14, and 9. The record is from Ensembl. Lineage: Eukaryota; Metazoa; Chordata; Mammalia; Primates; Hominidae.